UAAUUUUUUUUUUUUUUUUUUUUUUUUUUUUUUUUGAGACGAAUCUCACUCUGUCGCCCAGGCUGGAGUGCCGGUGGCACGAUCUUGGCUCACUGCAACCUCUGCCUUCCAGGUUCGAGUAAUUCUCCUGCCUCAGUCUCCCAAGUAGCUGGGUCUACAAUGAGACUAAUUACAUCCUUCAAUGAAGUACUAUUUUGUGAGAAAGUGAGAAUUCAGUGAUUUAUGAAAAAAUCCAAGCAGGAGAAACAAACAUUUUCUAAUAUGAAAGUAGUAAUGACUACAGCUAUAUAAAUAACAGUAACAAAGAGGUAAGGAAGUGGCAAGUAAUAAGGUCUAUGAGUUGAUUUAAUUUUGGUUUUCAUUUAUUCCUGGAUUAAGAAUAAUUGACUUUUAAUAUCCUUGUGUUUAUCAAUAACAUACGUU
This 423-nucleotide small RNA is filed under the name Pongo abelii (Sumatran orangutan). Its description in RNAcentral is "processed transcript". The record is from RNAcentral. Lineage: Eukaryota; Metazoa; Chordata; Mammalia; Primates; Hominidae.